This 405-nucleotide ribosomal RNA is filed under the name uncultured bacterium. Its description in RNAcentral is "partial 16S ribosomal RNA". It matches the Rfam family "Bacterial small subunit ribosomal RNA", at positions 28 to 526 of the family's 1533-position model. The record is from RNAcentral.
GACGAACGCUGGCGGCGUGCUUAACACAUGCAAGUCGAACGAGUGGCGAACGGGUGAGUAAUACGUGGGUAACCUGCCCUCUUUUUGGGAUAAGCUUUGGAAACGGGGUCUAAUACCGAAUAAGGGGGAUGGGCUCGCGGCUUAUCAGUUUGUUGGUGGGGGGAUGGCCUACCAAGGCGGUGACGGGUAGCCGGCCUGAGAGGGUGACCAGCCACAUGGGGACUGAGACACGGCCCAGACUCCUACGGUAGGCAGCAGUGGGGAAUUUUGGACAAUGGGCGCAAGCCUGAUCCAGCCAUGCCGCGUGUAUGAAGAAGGCCUUCGGGUUGUAAAGGACUUUUGUUAGGGAAGCGGUACCUAAAGAAUAAGCACCGGCUAACUACGUGCCAGCAGCCGCGGUAAUUC